RNAcentral lists this transfer RNA (75 nucleotides) under Cryptocephalus flavolimbatus. RNAcentral describes it as "tRNA-Leu". The stretch from base 1 to 66 matches the Rfam family "tRNA". From Rfam's summary of the family: Transfer RNA (tRNA) molecules are approximately 80 nucleotides in length. Their secondary structure includes four short double-helical elements and three loops (D, anti-codon, and T loops). Further hydrogen bonds mediate the characteristic L-shaped molecular structure. tRNAs have two regions of fundamental functional importance: the anti-codon, which is responsible for specific mRNA codon recognition, and the 3' end, to which the tRNAs corresponding amino acid is attached (by aminoacyl-tRNA synthetases). tRNAs cope with the degeneracy of the genetic code in two manners: having more than one tRNA (with a specific anti-codon) for a particular amino acid; and 'wobble' base-pairing, i.e. permitting non-standard base-pairing at the 3rd anti-codon position. Lineage: Eukaryota; Metazoa; Arthropoda; Insecta; Coleoptera; Chrysomelidae. The record is from RNAcentral.
GUUAUUUUGGCAGAAUAGUGCAAUUGAUUUAGAAUCUUUAUAUAUAGAGAUAUACUAUAAAUAACACAUGGUUUU